UAGUCCACGCCGUAAACGAUGGACACUAGUUGUUGGGCAUUAGCUCAGUGACUAAGCGAAAGUGAUAAGUGUCCCACCUGGGGAGUACGAUCGCAAGAUUGAAACUCAAAGGAAUUGACGGGGGCCCGCACAAGCGGUGGAGCAUGUGGUUUAAUUCGAUGAUACGCGAGGAACCUUACCAGGGCUUAAAUGUAAAUUGACAGAUUUAGAAAUAGAUUUUUCUUCGGACAAUUUACAAGGUGCUGCAUGGUUGUCGUCAGCUCGUGCCGUGAGGUGUCAGGUUAAGUCCUAUAACGAGCGCAACCCCUGUUGUUAGUUGCCAGCGAAUCAUGUCGGGAACUCUAACAAGACUGCCAGUGCAAACUGUGAGGAAGGUGGGGAUGACGUCAAAUCAUCACGGGCCCUUACGUCCUGGGGCUACACACGUGCUACAAUGGUAGGGGACAGAGAGCAGCCACUGCGUGAGCAGGGAGCG
RNAcentral lists this ribosomal RNA (475 nucleotides) under uncultured bacterium. RNAcentral's name for it is "bacterial SSU rRNA". It matches the Rfam family "Bacterial small subunit ribosomal RNA", at positions 791 to 1269 of the family's 1533-position model. The record is from RNAcentral.